CCUACGGGAGGCUGCAGUGAGGAAUAUUGGUCAAUGGACGAGAGUCUGAACCAGCCAAGUAGCGUGAAGGAUGACUGCCCUAUGGGUUGUAAACUUCUUUUAUAUGGGAAAAAAACGUUCCACGUGUGGGAUUUUGUAUGUACCAUAUGAAUAAGGAUCGGCUAACUCCGUGCCAGCAGCCGCGGUAAUACGGAGGAUCCGAGCGUUCUCCGGAUUUAUUGGGUUUAAAGGGAGCGUAGGUGGAUUGUUAAGUCAGUUGUGAAAGUUUGCGGCUCAACCGUAAAAUUGCAGUUGAAACUGGCAGUCUUGAGGACAGUAGAGGUGGGCGGAAUUCGUGGUGUAGCGGUGAAAUGCUUAGAUAUCACGAAGAACUCCGAUUGCGAAGGCAGUUCACUGGACUGCAACUGACACUGAGGCUCGAAAGUGUGGGUAUCAAACAGGAUUAGAUACCCCGGUAGUC
Molecule: ribosomal RNA, 460 nt
Filed under: uncultured bacterium
Lineage: Bacteria
Description: partial 16S ribosomal RNA
Rfam family: Bacterial small subunit ribosomal RNA
Source: RNAcentral